RNAcentral lists this ribosomal RNA (206 nucleotides) under uncultured bacterium. Its description in RNAcentral is "partial 16S ribosomal RNA". It matches the Rfam family "Bacterial small subunit ribosomal RNA", at positions 568 to 774 of the family's 1533-position model. The record is from RNAcentral.
UGCGUAGGCGGUUUUUCAAGUCAGGAGUGAAAGGCUAUGGCUCAACCAUAGUAAGCUCUUGAAACUGUUAAACUUGAGUGCAGGAGAGGAAAGUGGAAUUCCUAGUGUAGAGGUGAAAUUUGUAGAUAUUAGGAGGAACACCAGUGGCGAAGGCGACUUUCUGGACUGUAACUGACGCUGAGGCACGAAAGCGUGGGGAGCGAACA